RNAcentral lists this ribosomal RNA (465 nucleotides) under uncultured bacterium. RNAcentral's name for it is "partial 16S ribosomal RNA". It matches the Rfam family "Bacterial small subunit ribosomal RNA", at positions 28 to 507 of the family's 1533-position model. The record is from RNAcentral.
GACGAACGCUGGCGGCACGCUUAACACAUGCAAGUCGAACGAGAGAAGAGAAGCUUGCUUUUCUGAUCUAGUGGCGGACGGGUGAGUAACACGUGAGCAAUCUGCCUUUCAGAGGGGGAUACCGAUUGGAAACGAUCGUUAAUACCGCAUAACAUAAUUGAACCGCAUGAUUUGAUUAUCAAAGAUUUAUCGCGGAAAGAUGAGCUCGCGUCUGAUUAGCUAGUUGGUAAGGUAACGGCUUACCAAGGCGACGAUCAGUAGCCGGACUGAGAGGUUGAUCGGCCACAUUGGGACUGAGACACGGCCCAGACUCCUACGGGAGACAGCAGUGGGGAAUAUUGCACAAUGGAGGAAACUCUGAUGCAGCGAUGCCGCGUGAGGGAAGAAGGUUUUAGGAUUGUAAACCUCUGUCUUCAGGGACGAAAAAAGACGGUACCUGAGGAGGAAGCUCCGGCUAACUACGUG